Non-coding RNA from Acanthosepion pharaonis, 107 nucleotides. Lineage: Eukaryota; Metazoa; Mollusca; Cephalopoda; Sepiida; Sepiidae. The record is from the annotation of a GenBank genome assembly.
UCAAAUCACGCUGAAACACCGGUUCUCGUUCGAUCACCGAAGUUAAGCAUCGUAGAGCCAGGUCAGUACUUAGAUGGGGACCGCUUGGGAACACCUGGUACUGUAAG